CGUGCGUGCGCGGGGACCCUCCCUCGCCUCGCUGGCUGGUCGGUGACCUGAUCCUCUUUGGUGGAUCUCGUGGUGGUUUUAUUUUCUCAGCAACAUCUCCGCCCCCUUCUGCUGUAGCUGAAUCUUGUGAGUAAGAUUCCUAGGGCCCCAGUCCCAUGUCAAGGUUUGUGCAAGGCCCAGUCAGCUUGAAGUUUGGAACCGGGACCUCUGUCGGAAGGAAUGGGACGUGGCCGGACAGCGGUUUGGCCUCGUUCCCCUCCACCUUUGGACAGCUUGGGGAGGUGCUGAGGGUUAAUGUGAAAUGGGACAGCAUAGAAGACUGAAGAUGGGAAAGAAGUCAUAAGAAGCUUCCCUGAGGACCUUUGAGGGGAAGAGCGUCUCACAUUAAGAGAGGCCUAGACCUGACCGUGAGUCAUCGGGUGGUGCCUGCAGAGCCAUGGACAAAUAUGAGGUGGUGGGGCAGCUCUGAUGUCUCACACUGUGGGUCACUCAGGAUGCAGACUCAGGAAUAGGAGAAGCAGGCUUACUUAUGCACUCUGUAGUGUUCUCUAAGUCAAACCACGUGAGGAGGUAUCAGCAACCAAGUGAGGUUAGCAGAAAGCUGUCAGCUCUAGCUAACAGAGCAACAUGAUAAGACCUGAAACUGACGUGAUAUCUAAAAUCAUGAAGCCAG
This 673-nucleotide long non-coding RNA is filed under the name Rattus norvegicus (Norway rat). Its description in RNAcentral is "long non-coding RNA NONRATT033168". The record is from RNAcentral. Lineage: Eukaryota; Metazoa; Chordata; Mammalia; Rodentia; Muridae.